RNAcentral lists this ribosomal RNA (450 nucleotides) under uncultured bacterium. RNAcentral's name for it is "bacterial SSU rRNA". It matches the Rfam family "Bacterial small subunit ribosomal RNA", at positions 354 to 796 of the family's 1533-position model. The record is from RNAcentral.
GUGGGGAAUAUUGGACAAUGGGCGAAAGCCUGAUCCAGCCAUGCCGCGUGUGUGAAGAAGGUCUUCGGAUUGUAAAGCACUUUAAGUUGGGAGGAAGGGCAGUAAGCUAAUACCUUGCUGUUUUGACGUUACCGACAGAAUAAGCACCGGCUAACUUCGUGCCAGCAGCCGCGGUAAUACGAAGGGUGCAAGCGUUAAUCGGAAUUACUGGGCGUAAAGCGCGCGUAGGUGGUUCAGCAAGUUGGAGGUGAAAUCCCCGGGCUCAACCUGGGAACUGCCUCAAAAACUACUGAGCUAGAGUACGGUAGAGGGUAGUGGAAUUUCCUGUGUAGCGGUGAAAUGCGUAGAUAUAGGAAGGAACACCAGUGGCGAAGGCGACUACCUGGACUGAUACUGACACUGAGGUGCGAAAGCGUGGGGAGCAAACAGGAUUAGAAACCCGUGUAGUCC